UACGAAGGGGGCUAGCGUUGCUCGGAAUCACUGGGCGUAAAGGGUGCGUAGGCGGGUCUUUAAGUCAGGGGUGAAAUCCUGGAGCUCAACUCCAGAACUGCCUUUGAUACUGAGGAUCUUGAGUUCGGGAGAGGUGAGUGGAACUGCGAGUGUAGAGGUGAAAUUCGUAGAUAUCGCAAGAACACCAGUGGCGAAGGCGGCUCACUGGCCCGAUACUGACGCUGAGGCACGAAAGCGUGGGGA
This 243-nucleotide ribosomal RNA is filed under the name uncultured bacterium. RNAcentral's name for it is "partial 16S ribosomal RNA". It matches the Rfam family "Bacterial small subunit ribosomal RNA", at positions 524 to 767 of the family's 1533-position model. The record is from RNAcentral.